UCUAAAAUUUACUGCUUGAAGUCCAUUUC
RNAcentral lists this non-coding RNA (29 nucleotides) under Rattus norvegicus (Norway rat). Lineage: Eukaryota; Metazoa; Chordata; Mammalia; Rodentia; Muridae. The record is from RNAcentral.